ACAGGCAGGGAAGUGUCCACCUUAGAAAGCCUUCGAGAACUUUUCUCCCCAGGACUUCAGGGAGACCAUACUGUAAUAACAAGAUCCAGGUUUUAUGUUUUUAACAACACGGUGACAGGAAAAAGUCUUUCUGGCAUCUCAGCCUGACGUAGGGUGGCUUCCUGGCACCCAGAGCCUCUUAUGCUGAAGGCAAAGCAGGAGCCCAAAGCGAGAUCCAGCGACCCAAGAGAGACUUCAGGCAAAGAUACGCAGAUACGCGUUGGGAAGCUGGCCGUCAUGCACCGAAGCGGAAACGUGACAGGUUCAGGAAAUCUCCGACCUAGGAGUCACCGCUCAUCCAGGGGUCUGUGAAGAAGGAAGAAGACUCAGCACCCUCUUCCAGUUCAUGGAGAGAUGUGGAAAGCUGAGUAAUAUUUGCCAAAGGAUAAGUGCCUCCUAUUCAUUCUAUUCUAACGUAAGCUCCUGAGAACCAAACUGUAAAACUCUGUCACAAGUGAAAAUGAAAAGAGUAAAAACAUGAUAGAAAUCCAAAUCCACACCA
Long non-coding RNA from Herpailurus yagouaroundi (jaguarundi), 541 nucleotides. RefSeq lists it as uncharacterized. The transcript is spliced from 4 exons. Lineage: Eukaryota; Metazoa; Chordata; Mammalia; Carnivora; Felidae. The record is from RefSeq and is a predicted model, not a curated record.